Molecule: small RNA, 29 nt
Filed under: Bombyx mori (domestic silkworm)
Lineage: Eukaryota; Metazoa; Arthropoda; Insecta; Lepidoptera; Bombycidae
Description: ovarian small RNA-973
Source: RNAcentral
ACAUGUCCGAUUGCGGCAUUGGCCUGUCC